RNAcentral lists this long non-coding RNA (239 nucleotides) under Homo sapiens (human). Its description in RNAcentral is "non-protein coding lnc-CHST2-5:4". The record is from RNAcentral. Lineage: Eukaryota; Metazoa; Chordata; Mammalia; Primates; Hominidae.
CAUCAAACUGUGUCCAUCAUUUGAGUGUCUUACUGAAACCUAUGCUGCCCUGCCCUUCAACAGGCACUUGAUUAGUCACUAGACUGGAUAUUACCUGCUUAAACUGGUCUUCCUGCAUGCAAGAUCUUCUCACUUUAGCCCACUGUUCUGUUGCCAGAGCCCAGGUAAUCCUUUACCCGGAAGCCUUUAAUUGCUCUCACCAUCUGCAGCAUAGAGAUGUCAGCAUGGCAUCCAAGGCC